Molecule: ribosomal RNA, 372 nt
Filed under: uncultured organism
Description: bacterial SSU rRNA
Rfam family: Bacterial small subunit ribosomal RNA
Source: RNAcentral
CGUAGGGUGCGAGCGUUAAUCGGAAUUACUGGGCGUAAAGCGUGCGCAGGCGGUUUGUUAAGAUAGGCGUGAAAUCCCCGGGCUCAACCUGGGAACUGCGCUUAUGACUGGCAAGCUAGAGUACGGCAGAGGGGGGUGGAAUUCCACGUGUAGCAGUGAAAUGCGUAGAGAUGUGGAGGAACACCGAUGGCGAAGGCAGCCCCCUGGGUCGAUACUGACGCUCAUGCACGAAAGCGUGGGUAGCAAACAGGAUUAGAUACCCUGGUAGCCCACGCCCUAAACGAUGUCAACUAGGUGUUGGGAGGGUAAAACCUUUUAGUACCGGAGCUAACGCGUGAAGUUGACCGCCUGGGGAGUACGGCCGCAAGGUUA